Mauremys reevesii (Reeves's turtle) is the source of this 502-nucleotide long non-coding RNA. RefSeq lists it as uncharacterized. The transcript is spliced from 5 exons. NCBI's taxonomy places the organism in Eukaryota, Metazoa, Chordata, Testudines, Geoemydidae. The record is from RefSeq and is a predicted model, not a curated record.
GGCAUAUUCUUUGGUGGACCAAAGUAGUCUGAGCAAACAGGCCAUUUAACCAGGAUUCACAACUGCUUUGUCUCAUCACAGCAGUACAAAGCAGCUGAAAUGUACUGAAGAACAAGAGAGAGAAAACUCAGCACUCUGUUUACGUGAAAGGAAUGAAUCAAACCUCUAAUCAGGUACCAGUAACAAUAGGUUACCACGUUGGAGCAAAAGCUGCUUGGCUGACUUAUGUAAAACCCCCACUGAUUUCAGUUGGAGUUGCAUGUAUGCAGAAUGACAAAAGCCUUGUUACAUGGUGAAAUACCUGAGUCAGGGUAGGAAAGGACUUUGGUGCCUCCAUGUUAUGAAAACAAAAGCAGAUCUGGGAUUUUUCACACCUUUUUUAAGCCGGCUGCUUCAAUAUUGAUGACAUCGUCUACUUCUGGCUCAGUGGCAAGUAACAGUAUUGGAAACUUCCAGACACCACCUGUAGUGCAUCGUACCACCAAUGUUGCUGAAUUCCUUC